GGCAGCCUUUUUGGUGUCAUGACUACAUCAGUGUCAAGAUCCUGGCUGUGAUAUUGCACUAUAAUUUUGCAAGAUGUAACAACCUGGGGAAAUUGAGUAAAGGGUACGAUGGAUCUUCCUAUAUUAUUUCUCAGCAACUGCAAGUGAAUCUACAAUUAUCUUGAAAUGAAAAACGUUUAAACUGCCUCAAGAUCCGUGCUUCCUCUUAGGAAGUGUGUGAGUAUUUGCUCUGUUGUUCUAAAAUUCUAAAAAAUUUAUUUUUACCCAUUGUGUUGGAAACUCAUUGAGCCAUUUCAAUCAGAAAACUCAAGUCCUCCAGUUCUAAUUUGCUAGACGAGUUCCUUCUGUCUUUUCUCCUUUGUUUCUCUUUCUUACCAGACAAGCUGAACUGCCUGUCCCCACUAAUGAAUCAGAAAAAAAAUGCUUGUGAACCAAACUUUGGUUAAGCUUAUCCCCCACCCUCAGCACUCACUGGAUGAGGGGUGUUCCAGGGAUGUGAACUCUUCAGGACUUUUUUUUUUAGAGACAGGGUCUCUGUCACUCAGGCUGGAGUGCAGAGGCAAGGUCAUAGCUCACUGCAGCCUCAACCUCUCAUGCUCAAGCGAUUCUCUUGCCUCGGCCUCCCAAGUAGCUGAGACGACAGGUGGGUACCACGAUGCCUGGCUAAUUUAUUUACAUUUAUUUAUUUAUUUAUUUUUGUAGAGAUGAGGUCUCACUAUGUUGCCCAGGCUUGUCUUGAACUCCAGGGCUCAAGCGAUCUGCCUGCCUCGGCCUCCCAAAGUGCUGAGAUUACAGGUAUGAGCCACCAUGCCUGGCCUCUUCAGCACUUCUGAGCAGGACCAGCUCUUGCAGAGAUGCUGCCAACCAAAUGGACGUUGUUGGUCUUUAGCGACAGCAUGAGCCUGUACAAGCCACUGGCCUCCCUGUGCCUCUGUUUCCACAUCUGCAAAAUGGAGACACCACCUUCUGGUGUAGGAGACCGUUUUGGCCCCACGCCACCCCCUCAGCUCACCCUGCCAGGCUCAGCAGAGCACCCCCAAUGCCG
Molecule: long non-coding RNA, 1045 nt
Filed under: Homo sapiens (human)
Lineage: Eukaryota; Metazoa; Chordata; Mammalia; Primates; Hominidae
Description: non-protein coding lnc-PRR5-6:1
Source: RNAcentral